This 214-nucleotide long non-coding RNA is filed under the name Hordeum vulgare. Its description in RNAcentral is "long non-coding RNA (HVUL_LNC003160)". The record is from RNAcentral. Lineage: Eukaryota; Viridiplantae; Streptophyta; Magnoliopsida; Poales; Poaceae.
UGCACCUGCAACUAGCAACGCUAUCAACAGGGUUAAGCAAGCAGUAACAUAGCCAAUCAGUGGUUUGCUAGGUUGAACAGGUUGAAGGUUUCAUGGCAUUGUUGAGAGGCUGAUAUUUAACAUGUGGUAGGCAACGAGACAUAACGACAGAGACGAUAAAACUAGCAUGGCAAUGAUAGUAAUGGUAUAUGGGGAAAUGAUCAUCUUGCCUCAG